UCACUCCCUGCAACAUUAGUAGCGUGUUUGCAAAAAUAUCUAUAUCAGAGAGACUGGUAGUUUUUUUUUUUUUUUUUUUUUUUUUAACUAGUGUUUUAACUACAUAAUGGAUAUUCAUGGUGAUAACUGGUUUGGUAGGAAGGAGAGUCGAACGAGUUGCUUCUCACGAAGCUCAAAACUGCAUCUUGGAAGCCACAAGUCUUCUAAUACUGGGUUCUGAUAAAGUGGAGGAAACUGCAGACGAGUCGGAUGAAAUGGAGACGGACAAAGAAGUGGACAGUUUCGACUCCAUCAGCGUGUGUCUCUCCCCGAUGCCCGGCACUCCAGACACCGGCAUCCCCGAGGAAACUGCCUCGUACUCGCUGUCUCCCCGGAGCACAUCCGGCAAACGCACGCGCUCCUCCGAAUCCGACAUCGAGCUGCAGAAGCUGGAGGUGUUGAAGCAGAUGUCCGCUAAAGUCCUGGAGCACCCGUCUCCGGACGCCGCCGCCGUCUUCUCCAGCCAAGUGGCGAUGGAGUACCGUCUGCUGAGAGACCCCAGCGUCCAGAUGCGCGUCCGCCGGCAGAUCAUGGCUCUCCUCUACGAGGCACAGGAUUCAGAGAAACGUUCCCGGCAGUCCAAGAGACACGAGCAGAGAGAACUCAAAACUGAGGACGACGUUACUUGGAUUAACACUAAUAUAUAAGCUGAAAAAUAGUGUUGUUCUUGUGUUUUCUACAUUGUACUGAACUAUUUUCCUAGUGGAAGCUUUGAGAUAAUCUACAUGUAAGAUAAUAAAACUGUCCAACUCUUCAUGUGUAUUUUUAUUUUUUUGUAGCUGUGAG
This 825-nucleotide long non-coding RNA is filed under the name Sinocyclocheilus anshuiensis. Its description in RNAcentral is "lncRNA (ENSSANG00000009091.1)". Lineage: Eukaryota; Metazoa; Chordata; Actinopteri; Cypriniformes; Cyprinidae. The record is from RNAcentral.